CAGUAGCCGCGGUAAUACAGAGGGUGCGAGCGUUAAUCGGAUUUACUGGGCGUAAAGCGUGCGUAGGCGGCUUUUUAAGUCGGAUGUGAAAUCCCUGAGCUUAACUUAGGAAUUGCAUUCGAUACUGGGAAGCUAGAGUAUGGGAGAGGAUGGUAGAAUUCCAGGUGUAGCGGUGAAAUGCGUAGAGAUCUGGAGGAAUACCGAUGGCGAAGGCAGCCAUCUGGCCUAAUACUGACGCUGAGGUACGAAAGCAUGGGGAGCAAACAGGAUUAGAUACCCCCGUAGUCCCUGUCUCUUAUAA
Molecule: ribosomal RNA, 301 nt
Filed under: uncultured bacterium
Lineage: Bacteria
Description: partial 16S ribosomal RNA
Rfam family: Bacterial small subunit ribosomal RNA
Source: RNAcentral